UCCACGCCGUAAACGAUGGAUACUAGCUGUUCGAUCUUCGGAUUGAGUGGCUAAGCGAAAGUAAUAAGUAUCCCACCUGGGGAGUACGUUCGCAAGAAUGAAACUCAAAGGAAUUGACGGGGGCCCGCACAAGCGGUGGAGCAUGUGGUUUAAUUCGAUGAUACGCGAGGAACCUUACCAGGGCUUAAAUGUAGCUGGACAGAUUUAGAAAUAGAUCCUCCUUCGGGCUAGUUACAAGGUGCUGCAUGGUUGUCGUCGGCUCGUGCCGUGAGGUGUCAGGUUAAGUCCUAUAACGAGCG
RNAcentral lists this ribosomal RNA (299 nucleotides) under uncultured bacterium. RNAcentral describes it as "partial 16S ribosomal RNA". It matches the Rfam family "Bacterial small subunit ribosomal RNA", at positions 794 to 1098 of the family's 1533-position model. The record is from RNAcentral.